This is a long non-coding RNA of Raphanus sativus (radish), 1008 nucleotides long. RefSeq lists it as uncharacterized. NCBI's taxonomy places the organism in Eukaryota, Viridiplantae, Streptophyta, Magnoliopsida, Brassicales, Brassicaceae. The record is from RefSeq and is a predicted model, not a curated record. The transcript has 4 exons.
GUUUCAUUAAACCAGAAGUCGUGUUGGGCUUUGUGUGUUUUGUGUAUUGUGAUAUAUUUGGUCAGGGGCUUUCCGUGUGUAUUGCCUAAUGGACUCAAGCUUUUGUCACUUUCUCCUCUCCUCUAACCCUAACUGCACGUUUUUUUUUCUUCACUUUGACUCUACGGCGGCGUCGUCUGAGCUCCCUCUCCAUUCCUGAAACGUCCGACGUUGAAACUUCAUGUUUAAUCCAAUUGAUUCCACCGUCCACUACGAUGUAUUCAAUGCGCAUGUCGUUGCUCCUAAGCCAUGUGUAAUCUUUUGCUAUAAAUAUGGAGUUCUCCUCAUCUCGAAUUCAUCAUAUCUUUCUAUGUCUUUUGCUAAAUAAAAUCGUGUUCUUAUGGCUAAUACAAGAUUUUUUUUCUCAGAUUUGAGGUCCGGCCUAUGCACCUCCGUCGUCGAGGCGAGAAACAUCAAGUGGGUGGAAAUGCUACUGGUUGACGUAAAUGCCACUAUAAUGCAAGUGACCAUCUACGUUAACCGGCUUCCAACAUUCCAGCGUAAACUUGCCGCCGGGACGAUGUAAACCAUCUCCUGAAGAAGGCUUCCGGUUCUAUAAUCAAACAGAGCUGGUUGGAUUGGCUAACACAAAUACACAGGUUCCGGACAUCAUUGGUGAGAUCACUGCGGUUAAGAGUAUUGUGACAGAGCCGCCGAAGAUAAUAACCGCGUUAUGGUGACGAUCAAACUGGAAGGGUAUUUAUUAUCUAUUAGUUUUUUUUGAUUAUGGUUAUCUCGCACUUUUUGAUCUUCUGCUUGCUGAUGCAAAAUGUGCAGUGAUGUGGCUGUUACACUUAGCCUGUUUGACGCUCAGGCAGUUUCCUUUCACAAAAAACUGGAAGACAUGACUCAUGAUCCAAAGGUGAUUGUUGCCACUAGCAUAAAUCCAAAGAUGGUUGGAGGUCAUUUGUUCCUCAAUGCAACAUCAGGAACCCAUGUUUAUUUUGACAAAGAAACGAAUGCAGGAGA